This is a non-coding RNA of Plasmodium blacklocki (nom. inval.), 162 nucleotides long. NCBI's taxonomy places the organism in Eukaryota, Apicomplexa, Aconoidasida, Haemosporida, Plasmodiidae. The record is from the annotation of a GenBank genome assembly.
GUUUUUUUAUAAGACUUAUUUGAUGUAAUGUCAUUUUAUUAACAUACAUAACCUUAACGAUGGAUGUCUUGGUUCCUACAGCGAUGAAGGCCGCAAUUAAAUGCGAUAUUCUGUAUGUAUUAUAUACAACAUUUGAAUAAAUGCUGAAUGUAGAAUUAAAAU